GGAGCUUGCUCCACCGGAAAAAGAAGAGUGGCGAACGGGUGAGUAACACGUGGGUAACCUGCCCAUCAGAAGGGGAUAACACUUGGAAACAGGUGCUAAUACCGUAUAACAAUCGAAACCGCAUGGUUUUGAUUUGAAAGGCGCUUUCGGGUGUCGCUGAUGGAUGGACCCGCGGUGCAUUAGCUAGUUGGUGAGGUAACGGCUCACCAAGGCCACGAUGCAUAGCCGACCUGAGAGGGUGAUCGGCCACAUUGGGACUGAGACACGGCCCAAACUCCUACGGGAGGCAGCAGUAGGGAAUCUUCGGCAAUGGACGAAAGUCUGACCGAGCAACGCCGCGUGAGUGAAGAAGGUUUUCGGAUCGUAAAACUCUGUUGUUAGAGAAGAACAAGGAUGAGAGUAACUGUUCAUCCCUUGACGGUAUCUAACCAGAAAGCCACGGCUAACUACGUGCCAGCAGCCGCGGUAAUACGUAGGUGGCAAGCGUUGUCCGGAUUUAUUGGGCGUAAAGCGAGCGCAGGCGGUUUCUUAAGUCUGAUGUGAAAGCCCCCGGCUCAACCGGGGAGGGUCAUUGGAAACUGGGAGACUUGAGUGCAGAAGAGGAGAGUGGAAUUCCAUGUGUAGCGGUGAAAUGCGUAGAUAUAUGGAGGAACACCAGUGGCGAAGGCGGCUCUCUGGUCUGUAACUGACGCUGAGGCUCGAAAGCGUGGGGAGCAAACAGGAUUAGAUACCCUGGUAGUCCACGCCGUAAACGAUGAGUGCUAAGUGUUGGAGGGUUUCCGCCCUUCAGUGCUGCAGCUAACGCAUUAAGCACUCCGCCUGGGGAGUACGACCGCAAGGUUGAAACUCAAAGGAAUUGACGGGGGCCCGCACAAGCGGUGGAGCAUGUGGUUUAAUUGGAAGCAACGCGAAGACCCUUACCAGGUCUUGACAUCCUUUGACCACUCUAGAGAUAGAGCUUCCCCUUCGGGGGCAAAGUGACAGGUGGUGCAUGGUUGUCGUCAGCUCGUGUCGUGAGAUGUUGGGUUAAGUCCCGCAACGAGCGCAACCCUUAUUGUUAGUUGCCAUCAUUCAGUUGGCCACUCUAGCAAGACUGCCGGUGACAAACCGGAGGAAGGUGGGGAUGACGUCAAAUCAUCAUGCCCCUUAU
RNAcentral lists this ribosomal RNA (1150 nucleotides) under Enterococcus durans. Its description in RNAcentral is "bacterial SSU rRNA". It matches the Rfam family "Bacterial small subunit ribosomal RNA", at positions 75 to 1205 of the family's 1533-position model. The record is from RNAcentral. Lineage: Bacteria; Bacillati; Bacillota; Bacilli; Lactobacillales; Enterococcaceae.